This 9079-nucleotide long non-coding RNA is filed under the name Manihot esculenta (cassava). Lineage: Eukaryota; Viridiplantae; Streptophyta; Magnoliopsida; Malpighiales; Euphorbiaceae. The record is from RNAcentral.
GUUUUUUUCCUUCCUUUUAUUGAAUUCUUGUCAUUUUCGUGUUGGAUUUUUUUGUUUGAUUGUUCUAAAAUUGGUUAAAACAGUUCGUAGUAAGUGAUAUUUCAAUUGGCUGUUAAUAGAUGUUGCCAAUAAUUCUUAUUCUUCUUCUUUAAUGUGAUUUUUGUUUCUUGGGAUUUAUGUUCUUCCACAUGAAUGCGGGAAUAGAGGUUUGUCCUGGCUUGGAAAUUUAUCAAAUUGUAUUAGGAUCUUUUGCUUGCUAAACAUUGUUUGGAUGGUUUCUAUGUUCAUCCACAUGAAUGUGGUACUUUGCUUUCAUGUCAAUCUAUAAGUAAAGAAAUCCAAUUCUUACCCACCUUGUCUUCCUUCAUUGGUUAAAGAAAAAUAAAUGAAAUUCUAAACUUAGUGAGUGGAUACGCCAGAGUGGUUUUGAAAAACUUGCGUUUAGUUUGCGAAGAUUUUAAGGGAACUCAGAAUUUUAGUAUAAUUUGGAUGUAGGGGAACUCAGAUGCAUAAGGCAAUUACUUCUUAAAAAGAUUCCUAUGUAAUUUAUGCAAAGAAAGCAAGUACCCAAACACUAGGCUUUUAUGAAUUCAGAUCUAAGCUAGAAGUGUAGAUUAAUCAACUUUUCUGUUAGUUAGUUUGUGAGUUUGUGGUUCUUUAAAAAGCAAUUUUAGCAACUCAAUCAUCAAAAAUCAAUAGUGAUACAAGAAAAAGAAAAGCAAAAGCAAACUAUGGGAAUUUCUUCCAUGAAGUAAUUUGUUGAUUGGUUUCUUCAUGUAUUUUUAAGAGUGUGAGAAGUGAAAGUUUCAUGUUUCUAUUCCCAUCCAUAAGCACAGUUGUAAGUCUUAGCAGCUUAGGCCAUGGCAUGUUUGAUAGCAUCUUAGCUUUGGGGCUUGACCAAUCUAGGCCUGAUCACAAGUCAGAAUCCACUUGUGAGCCUAAUGAGAUGAUGUAAUCUAUCAGAUUGGAAUUGAACUUAGUCCCAUAUUGUUUAGUUAUGCAUAAUUGUAAAGCCUUGUAUAAAACAGAAACAAGAGGUUGUCCAGUAUGGCCCCUGCGUAAGGAUGACUGGCACAAAUCCAGAAAUGGUCCAAAUUUUGUUUUUAAACCUUUCUGAAGCUUUGUAACAAUGGUUUCUCUCUCUGAUUGCACAUUUUGCCUUGGAUGAUUUCUUAGCUGCUAGGAUCAGCACUGGAGAUUGCAUUCAAAAUUUCUUAGCUAUUGGUUUCUUUUUUUUUUUUCCUUUAUUAAAUGAUUGCAGUAUGACAUACUGCAGUAGGAUUUUGUGCUCCAAAAUGGUUUAGCAGCUCUAGUAUGAAUCUACUAUUCAGGACUGAAGCUCUUUGCCAUUCUGCAAAUUUAUGAAGGCUUUGUCUGUGAUUUAUUUAUUUAUUCAUUUAUUUUUAUUUUACUCUCGCUUUGCUUGCAAGAUAUUUUUCAGAUAACUCCUGAGUGGUUUUUGUUGAUAAUUAAUUAUCCAGAAAAUCAAGCACCUGGAGUUUUUUUAUUGGGUGUAAGGGGACCUAGAUGCACAAGGCCAAUUUCUUCUUACAAGUAACAUGCUUCCUAUAUAAUUUAAUACAAAUACAGAAAGUAUCCUAGUUUAGACUGUUAUGAAUUGAGAUCUAAGCUAAUAGAGCAGCUUUAACUUCAUGUUUAAGCACAGUUGUAAGUACUAGGAGCCUAGCCAACCCAUUGCAAGUUUGAUAAUGUCUUAUUAUUGGAUCUUGACCAAUCUAGGCUUGACAAGUCAGAAUCCACUUGUGGGCCUGAUGAGAUGAUGUAAUCCAUCCAUGUUGUAAAGUCAUCUAGUUGGAAUUGAACUUAGUCCCACAUCGUUUAGUUAUGUAAAGUUGAAAGCCUUUAUAAAAAUAAAACAGAAAUAAAUGGUUGUCCCUUCGGGGACAUCCGAUAAAAUUUGAAUGAUACAAAGAAGAUUAGCAUGGCCCCUGCGCAAGGAUGACACGCACAAAUCGCAAAAUGGUCCAAAUUUUUUUUUAAUCCUCCAGAUUUUUGUACCCUAGCCUUUGCUGAUUUUCAAAUGGUUUCUCUUCUGAUUUUACAUUUUUCCCUGCAAAAUUUAUUGGCAUUAAGAUCAAUACUGGACAUCAAAUCCAAAAAUUCUGUUGUUAUUUCCUUUCCUUUAUUAAAUUCUUGUUAUAUUUCACAGUGCAAUUAGGAUUUUGUUCUCCAAAAUGGUUUAGGAGCUCUAAUAUGAAUCUAUGAUUGAAGCUCUCUAUAUGCAAAUUUAUUAAUGCUUUGAGUGUCUUUGAUUUUUUUUUUACAACCUUUCUGUAGCUUUGUAACAAUGGUUUCUCUCUCUGGUUUCACCUUUUUGCCUUGCAAAAUUUCUACUACGCUCAGCACGGGAGAUUGCACUCAAAAGUUCUAUUGGUUUCUCUUUUUCCUUUAUUAAAUUUUUGCAGUAUUUCAUGCUGCAAUUAAAAUUUUGUGCCCAAAAAUGGUUUAGCAGCUCUAAUAUGAAUCCAGGGGAGUAAGGAGCAGUGAGUUGGCGCUUGAUGCCGUGCAACUCGCAGAAAUGUAUACUUGCCUCCGUGGUCUGUUCUAAACGUUUUGAGCUUACAUUCGGACUGGACUUCAAUAUGAGCUUUCACUUUCUUGAAAGCACUAAAAACCUCAUCUUUUCUUUUGAGCAUUUCAAUCCAUAUAUAAUGACUGUAAUCAUCCACGAGCAAGAGAAAAUACUUGUUUCUGCCGCAUAUGGUAGGUGAUGACGGCCCGCCCAAGUCACCAAAAACGAGUUCCAGAGAUUUGGUUGCUUGAUACUCUCCUACUUUCAGGAAACUCGUGCGAUGCUGCUUAUUGAUCACACAUUGUUCACAGACGUGCUUCACUGUUUCUAUCUCCGGUAAACCUUUCACCAUGCUUUCUUGUGCGAGCUUGCGUAAAGCUAGAUAGUUGAGGUGCCUAUAGCGUGCGUGCCAUAAGCAAGGCUUUUCAGACAACCUUGUCAGGUGGCACUCCAAUUUUGCUUGUGUCAUUCUCAUCGUGUAAAGGCGAUUUUCCGCUCUAUACACCUUGGCUAUCAACCUGUCCUUUGCGUCAUAUUCUCUCAGAAUUCCUCCUUUCACCACCAAUUUUGUUCCUGAUUCGUCGAGUUGACCGAGGCUUAUAAUAUUGGAUCUUAAUCAAGAAAUGUAGUACACGUUUGUUAGUUUGAAAUGAUCUCCGUUCUUGCACCGAAACACUGAAGUGCCUCGGCCUUCUACCUUGACGACUGAACCAUCACCGAACCUGACAUUCCCUUUCAUUGAUUCAUCGAGAUUGGUUAAGGCUAGCUUGUUACCUGUCAUAUGGUUGUUUGCCCCCGUAUCAUAAGCUCGUUCGUGCCCUACCUGUUACGUCGAUAGUUUGUUAAUAAGCACGUACCCACAUACUCUGAAUAUUUUGAAUUGUUCAGUGUUUGUUUCCUUCAACUCGAGUCUUGCGCAAUGUGGCUUCAAGCUCGGAUUAAGUUUCAUUUUUCAGUUUGUAAUGGUUGUUACAUUGAUUCAAGUAUAAAUAAGAACAAAAGGCCGAUCAAGAUUAUCGGUUAAGUUUGAAAAAUCUGAGCAAAAAACCUAAUACAAAAAUACUGCAGAAACUCAAAGUACACUGUUUGGCUCACACCCUCGGGAGUUCGUUUUUAGAGUCUACACAGUUCUCAUAAAGUCUGUCCUUUCAGCCAUUUCCACUUACACUAUGUCAAUUCUUAAGCAUCCCAGGAGUUUUUGUGAAAAGCUAAAUAGCAUGCUCUCAAGCUUCUGGUGGGGAAGUGGUGAAGACUCGAGAAAAUGCAUUAGAUUAGUUAGAAAAAAGCUUCCACUCCUAAAGCUAAAGGCGGCAUGGGUUUCAAGGAUUUCAAUCUUUUUAAUCUCGCUUGUCUUGGGAAAUAGUAUUGGAGACUUAUUCAGAAUCCGACAGCGGUUUGGGCUUGACUCAUCAAAGGUCUUUAUUUUCCAAGUACAGAUCUUUGGCAAGCUUCUCAUUCUAGAGCAGGCUCAGGGUAAACUUGUGAUUUUAAAUACGUUAUUAACUUUCUAAUUAUAUCCCUGAGCAGACAAGUUUUAAUUGCGACUGUGUAUUGGUUUAUUUGGAAAGAAAGGAACAAGGCAAUCUUUAACCACAUGCCUCCAGAUCCUAUCUUUGUGGCUUGCAAGACCCUUUCUAGUUUUCAAGAGCUAGAGUUUGUAAGAGACAUAAGCCGUUCAGUAGUGUUGUUCAUAAUUCUGGUGUUUCUGUUUGGCAAGCUCCACCUUUGGGAAUGUUAAAGUUCAAUUCUGAUGCUGCUUGGAAAUCUUAUUCUAUGCUUGCUUCUAUUGCUAUUGUGGUUCGGAACUGUUAUGGUAGAAGUUUAUAUGGUAGAAUUGGUAAGUGGUUGUUGCCGAGUCUCCUGUUGUGGUAGAAGCUUUAGGGGUCCUAGAGGCUAUGAAACUUGCUUUAGAGAUGGGAGCUAAGAAUGUUUUUAUGGAAAUAGAUUCAAAAUUGGUACAUUCGGCUGUCAUUUAAAAUUGUUUUUAUGGAAAUAGAGGCUAGCAACCUGCUGAAGCUGCUGUCCAAGGGACACAGCACAUACUGAAUCUGCCGGGCUUUUUGCAAAAUAAAGUUAAAAAAAAAAAAUAUUUCUUAAAUCCUGGUGCGCGAAAAAAUAUUUCUUAAACCAAGGUGAAUCGGUCUUCUACCGCAUUUUAUAAGUGCGGUAUUUUAUAAGUGCGGUAAGCUUUACCGCAUUUAUAAAAUGCGGUAGAGAGUCAUUGAAACAAAAUUAUAAUUUUUUUAAAUAAAAAAAAUUCUACCGCACUUUUAAAGUGCGGUAGAAUUUUUAAUAUAUUAUUUUUUAAUAAUUAAAAAUAUAUUGGCAGAGAGGGAGGGCAGAGAAAAAGUCCUCUACCGCACGAGAAUAUCAAAAAGUUAAAUUAUUUUAAUUUAUUUUAAUUUUAAAAAAAAUAAAAAUUAUACAUAAUUUUUAAUUAUUUAAUUUAUUUUUUUAUAAAAUAAAUAGAAACAUUUAUAUUUUAUAUUUUAAGUUGAUUGUUGUUCAGAAAAAGAACACUACCGCACUUUUAAAGUGCGGUAGAAGAGAGAGAAUAUAAAAAAGUUAAAUUAUUUUAAUUUAUUUUAAUUUUAAAAAAAUAAAAAUUAUGUAUAAUUUUUUAAUUAUUUAAUUUAUUUUCUCAUAAAAUAAAUAAAAAUAUUUAUAUUUUAAAUUGAUCAAAAUAUAUUUUUUAUUUUAUUAGUUGAAAUAUAUAUAUAUAUAUAUUUUAAUAAAUAAUUAUUAAUUAUUAUAUUUUUCAUUAUUAUAAUACCGCACUUUUAAAGNNNNNNNNNNNNNNNNNNNNNNNNNNNNNNNNNNNNNNNNNNNNNNNNNNNNNNNNNNNNNNNNNNNNNNNNNNNNNNNNNNNNNNNNNNNNNNNNNNNNNNNNNNNNNNNNNNNNNNNNNNNNNNNNNNNNNNNNNNNNNNNNNNNNNNNNNNNNNNNNNNNNNNNNNNNNNNNNNNNNNNNNNNNNNNNNNNNNNNNNNNNNNNNNNNNNNNNNNNNNNNNNNNNNNNNNNNNNNNNNNNNNNNNNNNNNNNNNNNNNNNNNNNNNCUUCCCUGCUCCCCAGCUCCCAUCUUCUUCCCGCUCCCCAGCUCCCCAUCUUCCCUGCUCUCCAUCUUCUUCCCGCUCCCCAUCUUCUUCCCUGCCCCUUCUUCCCUGCUCCACCUCCCCUCCCUGCUCCAUAUUUCCUUUUUUUCCAAGUUUCGCUCCUUCUUUUUUUUUUUAAAUUUUAUAUAUAAAUAAAUAAUUAUAAUUAAUAUAAUAUAUUUAAUAUAAAAUAGAUAAUAUGAUGAAUUCUUCAUUUUACGUAUUACCGCACUUUUAAAGUGCGGUAAUACAUAAAUUAAAUUAUUAAUUUAAUUAUUAAAAAUUAUAAAAAUUUUUAAUUAUUAUAAAAUUUAAUAUUCUACCGCACUUUUAGUGCGGUAGAAUUUUUAAUAUAUUUUUUUAAUAUUUAAAAAAUCUACCGCACUUUAUCAGUGCGUUAGAAUUUUUUUAUUUAAAAAAAUUAUAAUUUUGAUUUAACUGCUCUCUACCGCAUUUUAUAAGUGCGGUAAAGCUUACCGCACUUAUAAAAUGCGGUAAAGGACUGAUUCACCCUGUUCUGAGAAAUAUUUUCUCACGGAUCAGGGUUUAAGAAAUAUUUUUUUUUUUUAACUUUAUUUUACAAAAAGCCCGAAUCUACCAUAACAAAACCUGAAGUUGCUGUUCAAACAGAACCAGCAACAUACACUGUUAAAACAGAACCGAAUCAGCAACCGAAGAAAUAGCACAGAACAUUGCGGUGUUUGCCCAAACAGCCUCUGGGAUGGCUCUCUUUCAUGGCGAUGAGGAUAAUUUGUUUAAAAAAUUUGCUUUCAAGAUCUAUCAUUAUUUUUGUUUAUUUAAUAUUUUAUAAUAUCAUCAACUAACAAAAUAAUUAUUCUAAUAAAAAGUAAUAUGCCCUUUAAAUUUAAUUUAGAAUUUUUUAAAAGAAAAUACUUAUAAUUUUUAUGUAUGUCUUAAAAAUUUUGAUACAGCUAUUAGUGAUAUAGUAAUAAUAGCUAUAGUAAUAAGAGGAAAAAGAUAUCAAUUUAUAAAAUUUCUGCAGCCACACAUGUAGAAUUAUUCUUAAUUCAUCAUAAGCAUGAAUAUUAUAUGAAUCAUAAACAUAAAAUUCAUCUAACACCCUAAUAAUAAAUCUUGAAUAAAUUACAUUUCACAAAUAUAGAAAAAUAUAUUUGAUGUAAAAUUAAUUGAUCCUUCUUAAUUCAAUAAAAGAGAGCUACGAAUUUGAAUAAAUUAAUUUUUCUUUUGACCCUUUUAAUUUUAUAUAAUCUUUAGUGAUGGAGACUUUCUAAUAGACAUUAUCUUAAUAUCUGGAAUGAAAACUUUGUUUGCCUUUGAGAAAGACGAAAAAGAAAGAAAAAUUUUAAAAGCAGUAGAAAAAAAAAGAGUAAAUUUAUGAUCUUGGUGUGUGCGUAUUAUGUAUACUAUGAAAAAUAAAAUACACAACUUUGGUUAUUUAAAUCAUUCGCUAAAUGGAUUAAACGUUAUUGUUUUUCAGUUGAAUUAUUUGAAAUGCUGAAGAGCCAUCUGUUAUUUUAUAAAAUUUACAAAUUUUAAAUUUUUUAUUAAAUGUUAUACUCUGAAUUAAUUUUUUACUUUCAAUCUUAUAAUUUUUUUAUCCCUUUUACAUAUAUUAAAAAAAAAAAAUUUUAUUCACUUUCUAAUUAUAUCUAUUUUAAAUAUAUUAAUAAAAUAUUUUAAAUAUUCACUUAAACUCUAUUUAUUUAUAAAAAAUAACUUGUAUUUUAAAGAUUUCCAAAACAUAAUACUAUUAUGAUCAUGGUAUUUUAAAUUAUGUAUCAAUACUUAAAAAUUUCUAUUUGGAUGAUUUUUAUUUUUAUUAUUAUAUUUUAAUAUUUAAAUUUUAUUUGUUUCAUAAAAAAUAUUUUUUAUAUUUUUUGGUGUUUGAAGCAUUCAAAAAAUUUAGUUAAUAAAAAUUAUUGUUCUGAUUAAAUAAAAAAAUUAAAUAUUUUAAAGAAAAUAACUUAAAAUAAAAGUUAUUUCCGAACAUUUGAUAAAAAUAUCAAAUUCUAUUUAUACAAAUUUUUAAUAAAUUUUAAUUUUAAAUUUUUACAUUUAAAUUAAUAUUAAAUAAUAAAAAAAAUAUCUCAAUACUUUUUAUAAAAAAUAUUUUUUAAAUAUAAAUUAUUUUCUGCAAAUAAAUAGAGAUUUAUAAUUAAAAGAAUUUUCAUUUAUAUUAUACACGUUGGAAAAAGAAGCAAGCAAUUUGAUGGACCGAAAAAUAAUCUAGACCGAUGUUGGGCCGAAAAUGUAUUUGAUUUUGGGCAUGAAAGCCCAUUAAAUGUCCAUCAAAUACAUUAGGUAAAAUCACAAGUUUGCCUGCUCAGGGUUUGCGUUUCGAUUUCACUCCAUCCUCAAACAGAUCAUACACAUUACACGCAGUACACACCGUAUUCUCUAUUCCUUGUGAUGAAUCUUGAUGCGUUGGAUUCAUCUGAUGAUCAUGGGAUCUCUUUUGUCAACGGUUAAAACUUAUUGUCACUGUACCAAUAACCAGACUCUUCCUACUCAAGGACACACGCAAUCAUCUUGAACAAUUGAUCAAUUGCCCGCCCAUAUUCACCUAUCGAGUGGGGCCACCUUAUAUUACCACAGACAGGUGUCGCACUUCCAAGCAUGAUCUACAGGUCACUGACCCUUGGUUGAGACACAUCAUCAGUGGAGGGCCCACGCGUAUGGUGUUAUCAAGGUGGCUUAAGAUGGCCAGAUAGUCAGGUGGUCUGGUUGAAAUCAAACUAAAAUCUAAACCCACAUCGUUCAUUGAGUUCAUUAUAAUAUUCUUUAUAAUGCGAAGCGAAAUGUGCAACGCUUGUCCCUUCGGGGACAUCCGAUAAAAUUGGAACGAUACAGAGAAGAUUAGCAUGGCCCCUGCGCAAGGAUGACACGCACAAAUCGAGAAAUGGUCCAAAUUUUUUUUUGAUCCAAAACCUUCUCGAUUGGCAGCUCUGCUUUUUUCGUGUCUCUCUGGUUUUUGUUCAAACACCUGUGCUGCAACAUUUCUUAGCUAUUGCCAACAGCAAGGGAGUAGAGUUCCAUUCGAGAGGUCUGUUUUUUUUUCCUUCCUUUUAUUGAAUUCUUGUCAUUUUCGUGUUGGAUUUUUUUGUUUGAUUGUUCUAAAAUUGGUUAAAACAGUUCGUAGUAAGUGAUAUUUCAAUUGGCUGUUAAUAGAUGUUGCCAAUAAUUCUUAUUCUUCUUCUUUAAUGUGAUUUUUUUUCUUGGGAUUUAUGUUCUUCCACAUGAAUGCGGGAAUAGAGGUUUGUCCUGGCUUGGAAAUUUAUCAAAUUGCAUUAGGAUCCUUGUGCUUGCUAAACAUUGUUUGGAUGGUUUCUAUGUUCAUCCACAUGAAUGUGGUACUUUGCUUUCAUGUCAAUCUAUAAGUAAAGAAAUCCAAUUCUUACCCACCUUGUCUUCCUUCAUUGGUUAAAGAAAAAUAAAUGAAAUUCUAAACUUAGUGAGUGGAUACGCCAGAUUUUG